Molecule: long non-coding RNA, 1376 nt
Filed under: Oncorhynchus kisutch (coho salmon)
Lineage: Eukaryota; Metazoa; Chordata; Actinopteri; Salmoniformes; Salmonidae
Description: lncRNA (ENSOKIG00005008507.1)
Source: RNAcentral
AGCCCUGGUCAAUCACCUUUACUCCCCUCAAGAUGUAAAAGCAUUGGAUAGGUGUAGAUGAAUUAUCUACCAACACAGGUACAACAAUCCACUGCUUUUAAUAUUUGAGGGGGUGUGAAUGAGUGCCCAGGUAAGAAGGGGUGUAAUUGGGAUUGGGUUCCUGUCAUCGUAGCACACGUACGCCAUCUUCCCAUUUUCUAGUUGUAAUCAGCUGACAGCUGACUUUUCCGAAAAAUAGCGACAUUGCUUGUUGUUUGAUUUACAUAGUUAGUUGUCAUUACUUUGAGCAAAGCUGCCAGUAUGCGCUGAAUUACCGGUAAUCAAGGAUUAUUUUACAAUCGUCUGUCACCUCAUCAUGAGUGGAGAGAUGAGAAAGCAUCUUCACUGACGAGCAAGGUAUGUUACGCUAGUUAAUUAGCUAGCUAGUUAGUUACUGUAAGUACACAAUGCAUUACCUAGACUUUAUAAACUAUCAGGCCUUCACUACCUGCAUCUACUUUGUAUUUGUUUAAGGUAAGCUAUGGCCAAUGUUGUUGGAGUGAAUACCACUGAAGACAGGUUUGAAGACAUGCUGGUAUAGCUAACAUUAGCCUAAACGUUUUACUCACUAUUUUCAGUGCCAUGGUAUUUUUCAUCCCUAUAUCCCACACAACAAGUUAGCUAGCUAACAAGUUCAUGUUAAUUCAUUGAAAGCGAGAUACAGAUUAGAGACACACAAAGGUUUGAACAGGAAUAGAGCCACUUUGUUUUAAAACAGUUGUCUCCAUGACAAUUUACUUUAUUGUGGACCCAAAUAAAUAAGACUGAUAAAGCACUGAAACAUGUCCCCCCCCCCCAGGGUAAGAUGGUGAAGGGAAUGGACCGGCUCAUGGUUCUGGUGGCCAGAGCUGGAUCUGAGGUGGCUGUCACCAUUGAGCAUUCAGCUAAGCAGAUGAGAUUGUCUCCAUGACCAGGAGAAACAUGGGCAACUCGUUCCAGUAUCCAUUCCUGCAAGCUGAAUUUAAAUGAUCAUUAUUUUUGCCAUCUUUCAUGCCUUCCAGUGUUGUAUAUAGCCAAAUCAAACAGGUCUUUCUCUACUGUUUUUCUUUUUAAGAAUUUGUUGUUGACGGUUCUGACAUGUUCUGUUUGAGCUGCUUUUGAAUGAAAAGUUGUAUUAAAAACAUUAUUGGCAUUGUUGAAUUCGAUUUUCAUAAUAGCAAGCUAGGACUGAUGGUUUGGUUAGCUAAACUACUGUAGCAAGUCUGUUUGUUUGGUUAUCAAGGCAACUACUAAUUUGCUAGCUAAUUUAUUGGUGAUUGUUGAAUACAGUUCUACUGUCAAAUAACCAUUUCUAGUGGCAAAUGUGUUAAAUUAUAGCCAUGGUACAGUAUAAAAGG